CUGCAACCCGCCUGCAUGAAGUCGGAAUUGCUAGUAAUCGCGGAUCAGCAUGCCGCGGUGAAUACGUUCCCGGGCCUUGUACACACCGCCCGUCACACCAUGGGAGCCGGUAAUACCCGAAGUCAGUAGUCCAACCUCGUGAGGACGCUGCCGAAGGUAGGAUUGGCGACUGGGGUGAAGUCGUAACAAGGUAUC
This 195-nucleotide ribosomal RNA is filed under the name uncultured bacterium. RNAcentral's name for it is "partial 16S ribosomal RNA". It matches the Rfam family "Bacterial small subunit ribosomal RNA", at positions 1305 to 1500 of the family's 1533-position model. The record is from RNAcentral.